UUGAUCGGUACGGGUUGUGGGAGCAAGAGCCCGGAGAUGGAUUCUGAGACACGAAUCCAGGCCCUACGGGGCGCAGCAGGCGCGAAAACUUUACAAUGCGAGAAAUCGUGAUAAGGGAACCCCGAGUGCCCGUAAAUUCGGGCUGUCCGCCAGUGCAAAAAACUGGUGAAGAAAGAGCCGGGCAAGACCGGUGCCAGCCGCCGCGGUAAUACCGGCGGCUCGAGUGGUGGCCACUAUUACUGGGCUUAAAGCGUCCGUAGCUUGGUUGUUAAGUCUCCUGGGAAAUCCAUCGGCUCAACCGAUGGGCGUUCAGGAAAUACUGGCAACCUAGGGACCGGGAGAGGUGAGAGGUACUCCAGGGGUAGGAGUGAAAUCCUGUAAUCCUUGGGGGACCACCUGUGGCGAAGGCGUCUCACUAGAACGGCUCCGACAGUGAGGGACGAAAGCUGGGGGAGCAAACCGGAUUAGAUACCCGGGUAGUCCCAGCUGUAACGAUGCGCGU
This 502-nucleotide ribosomal RNA is filed under the name uncultured Methanomicrobiales archaeon. RNAcentral describes it as "bacterial SSU rRNA". It matches the Rfam family "Archaeal small subunit ribosomal RNA", at positions 260 to 767 of the family's 1478-position model. Lineage: Archaea; Methanobacteriati; Methanobacteriota; Methanomicrobia; Methanomicrobiales. The record is from RNAcentral.